Molecule: ribosomal RNA, 253 nt
Filed under: uncultured bacterium
Lineage: Bacteria
Description: partial 16S ribosomal RNA
Rfam family: Bacterial small subunit ribosomal RNA
Source: RNAcentral
UACGUAGGGGGCAAGCGUUGUCCGGAAUCAUUGGGCGUAAAGAGCGCGUAGGCAGCCCUGUAAGUCCGCUGUGAAAGUCAAGGGCUCAACCCUUGAAUGCCGGUGGAUACUGCAGGGCUAGAGUCCGGAAGAGGCGAGUGGAAUUCCUGGUGUAGCGGUGAAAUGCGCAGAUAUCAGGAGGAACACCAAUGGCGAAGGCAGCUCGCUGGGACGGUACUGACGCUGAGACGCGAAAGCGUGGGGAGCAAACAGG